RNAcentral lists this transfer RNA (72 nucleotides) under Methanosphaera sp. WGK6. RNAcentral's name for it is "tRNA-Arg". It matches the Rfam family "tRNA". Rfam says of the family: Transfer RNA (tRNA) molecules are approximately 80 nucleotides in length. Their secondary structure includes four short double-helical elements and three loops (D, anti-codon, and T loops). Lineage: Archaea; Methanobacteriati; Methanobacteriota; Methanobacteria; Methanobacteriales; Methanobacteriaceae. The record is from RNAcentral.
GCCUUGGUAGUGUAGCGGAUAUCACGAGGGACUGCGGAUCCCUUUACCCGAGUUCAAAUCUCGGUCAGGGCA